This 253-nucleotide ribosomal RNA is filed under the name uncultured bacterium. Its description in RNAcentral is "partial 16S ribosomal RNA". It matches the Rfam family "Bacterial small subunit ribosomal RNA", at positions 524 to 776 of the family's 1533-position model. The record is from RNAcentral.
UACAGAGGGUGCAAGCGUUAAUCGGAAUUACUGGGCGUAAAGCGUGCGUAGUCGGUUAUUUAAGUCGGGUGUGAAAGCCCCGGGCUCAACCUGGGAAUUGCAUUCGAUACUGGAUAGCUAGAGUUCGGCGGAGGGAAGCGGAAUUUCCGGUGUAGCGGUGAAAUGCGUAGAUAUCGGAAGGAACAUCAGUGGCGAAAGCGGCUUCCUGGACCAGAACUGACGAUCAGGCACGAAAGCGUGGGGAGCAAACAGG